CCUACGGGAGGCAGCAGUAAGGAAUAUUGGUCAAUGGACGGAAGUCUGAACCAGCCAUGCCGCGUGCAGGAAGACGGCCCUACGGGUUGUAAACUGCUUUUGCAGGGGAAUAAACCCCGAUACGUGUAUCGGGCUGAAUGUACUCUGAGAAUAAGGAUCGGCUAACUCCGUGCCAGCAGCCGCGGUAAUACGGAGGAUCCAAGCGUUAUCCGGAUUUAUUGGGUUUAAAGGGUGCGUAGGUGGCCUGUUAAGUCAGGGGUGAAAGACGGUAGCUUAACUAUCGCAGUGCCCUUGAUACUGAUGGGCUUGAAUAAACUAGAGGUAGGCGGAAUGUGACAAGUAGCGGUGAAAUGCAUAGAUAUGUCACAGAACACCAAUUGCGAAGGCAGCUUACUAUGGUUUUAUUGACACUGAGGCACGAAAGCGUGGGGAUCAAACAGGAUUAGAUACCCUGGUAGUCCACGCCCUAAACGAUGAAUACUCGAUGUUGGCGAUAUACGGUCAGCGUCUAAGCGAAAGCGUUAAGUAUUCCACCUGGGGAGUACGCCCGCAGGGUGAAACUCAAAUGAAUUGAGG
This 576-nucleotide ribosomal RNA is filed under the name uncultured bacterium. RNAcentral's name for it is "bacterial SSU rRNA". It matches the Rfam family "Bacterial small subunit ribosomal RNA", at positions 338 to 915 of the family's 1533-position model. The record is from RNAcentral.